AGAGUUUGAUCCUGGCUCAGGAUGAACGCUGGCGGCGUGCCUAAUACAUGCAAGUCGAGCGAACGGACGAGAAGCUUGCUUCUCUGAUGUUAGCGGCGGACGGGUGAGUAACACGUGGAUAACCUACCUAUAAGACUGGGAUAACUUCGGGAAACCGGAGCUAAUACCGGAUAAUAUUUUGAACCGCAUGGUUCAAAAGUGAAAGACGGUCUUGCUGUCACUUAUAGAUGGAUCCGCGCUGCAUUAGCUAGUUGGUAAGGUAACGGCUUACCAAGGCAACGAUGCAUAGCCGACCUGAGAGGGUGAUCGGCCACACUGGAACUGAGACACGGUCCAGACUCCUACGGGAGGCAGCAGUAGGGAAUCUUCCGCAAUGGGCGAAAGCCUGACGGAGCAACGCCGCGUGAGUGAUGAAGGUCUUCGGAUCGUAAAACUCUGUUAUUAGGGAAGAACAUAUGUGUAAGUAACUGUGCACAUCUUGACGGUACCUAAUCAGAAAGCCACGGCUAACUACGUGCCAGCAGCCGCGGUAAUACGUAGGUGGCAAGCGUUAUCCGGAAUUAUUGGGCGUAAAGCGCGCGUAGGCGGUUUUUUAAGUCUGAUGUGAAAGCCCACGGCUCAACCGUGGAGGGUCAUUGGAAACUGGAAAACUUGAGUGCAGAAGAGGAAAGUGGAAUUCCAUGUGUAGCGGUGAAAUGCGCAGAGAUAUGGAGGAACACCAGUGGCGAAGGCGACUUUCUGGUCUGUAACUGACGCUGAUGUGCGAAAGCGUGGGGAUCAAACAGGAUUAGAUACCCUGGUAGUCCACGCCGUAAACGAUGAGUGCUAAGUGUUAGGGGGUUUCCGCCCCUUAGUGCUGCAGCUAACGCAUUAAGCACUCCGCCUGGGGAGUACGACCGCAAGGUUGAAACUCAAAGGAAUUGACGGGGACCCGCACAAGCGGUGGAGCAUGUGGUUUAAUUCGAAGCAACGCGAAGAACCUUACCAAAUCUUGACAUCCUUUGACAACUCUAGAGAUAGAGCCUUCCCCUUCGGGGGACAAAGUGACAGGUGGUGCAUGGUUGUCGUCAGCUCGUGUCGUGAGAUGUUGGGUUAAGUCCCGCAACGAGCGCAACCCUUAAGCUUAGUUGCCAUCAUUAAGUUGGGCACUCUAAGUUGACUGCCGGUGACAAACCGGAGGAAGGUGGGGAUGACGUCAAAUCAUCAUGCCCCUUAUGAUUUGGGCUACACACGUGCUACAAUGGACAAUACAAAGGGCAGCGAAACCGCGAGGUCAAGCAAAUCCCAUAAAGUUGUUCUCAGUUCGGAUUGUAGUCUGCAACUCGACUACAUGAAGCUGGAAUCGCUAGUAAUCGUAGAUCAGCAUGCUACGGUGAAUACGUUCCCGGGUCUUGUACACACCGCCCGUCACACCACGAGAGUUUGUAACACCCGAAGCCGGUGGAGUAACCUUUUAGGAGCUAGCCGUCGAAGGUGGGGCAAAUGAUUGGGGUGAAGUCGUAACAAGGUAGCCGUAUCGGAAGGUGCGGCUGGAUCACCU
RNAcentral lists this ribosomal RNA (1540 nucleotides) under Staphylococcus aureus. Its description in RNAcentral is "16S ribosomal RNA". It matches the Rfam family "Bacterial small subunit ribosomal RNA". Lineage: Bacteria; Bacillati; Bacillota; Bacilli; Caryophanales; Staphylococcaceae. The record is from RNAcentral. RNAcentral also lists the same sequence under 2 other names.